This is a long non-coding RNA of Anthonomus grandis grandis, 450 nucleotides long. RefSeq lists it as uncharacterized. The transcript has 3 exons. The record is from RefSeq and is a predicted model, not a curated record. NCBI's taxonomy places the organism in Eukaryota, Metazoa, Arthropoda, Insecta, Coleoptera, Curculionidae.
AACAAACAUAACAUCUAAAACACUUUACCAUAACAUUUACACACAUUACCAAAAUUAAUCAUAACAAAACAGAUUGAGAAAAAAAAACAUCUUUUUGAUAAAUUUCAUUAAAAAAUAAGUAAAGCUGUCAAUAAAACAGAAUUUAGAAGAAGUAAAUUACAUUAUUUAACAGGAAACAAAACUAAAACACUAAAAUGAUGUCAGAGCACAGGUUAAAAGGUAUCAUUAAAAAAAUCGUCAAGGCUAUAAUAUGCCCUGGAUAAUAAAAGUGAUUUUAAUUCCUUUUUGAAUCUCUUAACUUCUAAAAUUUGUCUGAUACAUAGAGGAACAUGGUUGUAAAUUUUUUUGCUAAGGUAUAUAAGUGAGUUCUUGGUGAGGGAGGAUGUAGGGAUUGGUAAGGAAAAAUCGUUAACCUGGCGAGUCAUAUGACCAGUGUUAGAGGGAGGUUUA